UACCUACGGGGCGCAGCAGUGGGGAAUAUUGCACAAUGGGGGAAACCCUGAUGCAGCGACGCCGCGUGAGUGAAGAAGUAUCUCGGUACGUAAAGCUCUAUCAGCAGGGAAGAAAAAAAGUCUUUGGCUUUGGACGGUACCUGACUAAGAAGCCCCGGCUAACUACGUGCCAGCAGCCGCGGUAAUACGUAGGGGGCAAGCGUUAUCCGGAUUUAUUGGGUGUAAAGGGUGCGUAGACGGGAAUUUAAGUUAGUUGUGAAAUCCCUCGGCUUAACUGAGGAACUGCAACUAAAACUGGAUUUCUU
RNAcentral lists this ribosomal RNA (305 nucleotides) under uncultured bacterium. RNAcentral's name for it is "bacterial SSU rRNA". It matches the Rfam family "Bacterial small subunit ribosomal RNA", at positions 335 to 643 of the family's 1533-position model. The record is from RNAcentral.